This is a non-coding RNA of Pseudomonas putida S11, 81 nucleotides long. NCBI's taxonomy places the organism in Bacteria, Pseudomonadati, Pseudomonadota, Gammaproteobacteria, Pseudomonadales, Pseudomonadaceae. The record is from Rfam.
GGCCCAUAAAUUGCUGUUUCACCUCCAUCCAGGGCUAUCAACGUCGACAGCCCACAAAACCUUCACGACAAAAGGCGCCGU